RNAcentral lists this ribosomal RNA (616 nucleotides) under Potamia littoralis. Its description in RNAcentral is "partial 12S ribosomal RNA". Lineage: Eukaryota; Metazoa; Arthropoda; Insecta; Diptera; Muscidae. The record is from RNAcentral.
UAAAAAAUUUGGCGGUAUUUUAGUCUAUUCAGAGGAACCUGUUCUAUAAUCGAUAAUCCACGAUGGACCUCACUUAGAUUUGUAUUUAAUUUAUAUACCGUCGUUAUUAGAAUAUUUUAUAAAAAUGUUAAUUUUCAUAAUUUAUAAAAAUAAAAUAUAUCAGAUCAAGGUGUAGUUUAUAUUUAAGAAGAAAUGGGUUACAAUAAAUUUAUUUAUAUGGAUAUAAAUUUGAAAUAUUUAUUGAAAGUGGAUUUGAUGGUAAAAUUAUAAAGAUUAAUAAUUUGAUUUUAGCUCUAAAAUAUGUACAUAUCGCCCGUCACUCUUAUUAUUAAGGUAAGAUAAGUCGUAACAUAGUAGAUGUACUGGAAAGUGUAUCUAGAAUGCAAUUUAAAGCUUUAGUUAGUAAAGUAUUUCAUUUACAUUGAAAAGAUUUUUGUGCAAAUCAAUAUAAAUUGAUUAGAUUUUAUUUAUUAAUUUUUUUUUUAUUAUUAAUUUAAUUUAUUAAAAAUAAUUAUAAAAAGAUUUGUUUUAGUAUUUUAUAAAUAAAAAAUAAUUUUAAUUAUAGUGUAAUAGUAUUGUGAAAGAAAAUUGAAAUAUUUUGAAAAAUUAUUAUUUU